UGUGGCUAUAAACAGGUGUCCAUCCAAGUCUUGGCAUAUUUCUUGAAAAUAUUUGCGCAUCCGAGUUUUAAGUUGAUAUCAAAUCAACAAUUUUUUUAGGGAGGCAGUGUUGAGGAGAACGAGUCCAUUCCAUCAUAGUCUGGAAUGGCUUCGUUCGCGCUGGGGUUGACUUCAUUGUUGUAACUCAUUCGCGAGGUGACCUCUCGGUACAGGUCGCACGAGUAUUUCGAGCAUUUCGGGGAUCCUUCGGCUUGAUGGCUGGCAUCGACGAAGGCGCGCAUUCCACGACGCCACUUUUUAGAUAAGUAGCCCUCCGUUUUCUCGAAUACGCUAAGAAAUUAGAAUUAAUUGAGGUCAAUGUUUCACUCUUUCAGAUAACAGGAUAUCCAGUAAACUUACCCUGUGAUCAAUUUCUCCACAAAGGUCCCAUGACUUCGCUUAUUGAUCUCGCAACUUAUCCUCUCUAUGCAUUGUCCACUGGUGAGAACGUCUUGCGCCACUUGGACCGUAUUGUAAACUUUCUCUUGUACGAAUGCACCCAAUCCGACGGGUUCAAGUGUUCUUCCACCAGCAGUUGCUAGAAUUUGACAUUUUACACAUAAAUAUAUUAGAUAAGCAUAUGAUAUGCGUUAGAUUUUGACACAAAAAUCAACUCACGAAUGGUGAUGACGGGCUAAAAAAUGUAGCAAAAAAAAUAUUAUUAGAGAAAGUUAUCGUAUGUAGUGUGGAAAUUCUUAUUAUUUGGAUUUAUCUACUUACAAUUGGGAUGAACAACAAGAGAAGAGGCAACAACAGCAAAACUGCAAAUAUACAUUUUUCAUCGUAUUACAAUUUAAGUCCUAAAUAUUUUAUCACGCCAUGUAAAAAGUAGUACACAUACGUGGGAGCAACAGUGGCAACAAUAAAGGCUUGAACAGCUUGAACAACGCC
Molecule: long non-coding RNA, 930 nt
Organism: Folsomia candida
Lineage: Eukaryota; Metazoa; Arthropoda; Collembola; Entomobryomorpha; Isotomidae
Exons: 2
Source: RefSeq, a predicted model, not a curated record